RNAcentral lists this transfer RNA (74 nucleotides) under Ulva fenestrata. RNAcentral's name for it is "tRNA-Ile". It matches the Rfam family "tRNA". Rfam says of the family: Transfer RNA (tRNA) molecules are approximately 80 nucleotides in length. Their secondary structure includes four short double-helical elements and three loops (D, anti-codon, and T loops). Lineage: Eukaryota; Viridiplantae; Chlorophyta; Ulvophyceae; Ulvales; Ulvaceae. The record is from RNAcentral.
CACUGCUUAGCUUAAUUGGUUAAAGCGCGGUCUUGAUAAGGCCGAGAGUACAGGUUCAAGUCCUGUAGUAGUGA